Molecule: ribosomal RNA, 468 nt
Filed under: uncultured bacterium
Lineage: Bacteria
Description: partial 16S ribosomal RNA
Rfam family: Bacterial small subunit ribosomal RNA
Source: RNAcentral
GACGAACGCUGGCGGCGUGCUUAACACAUGCAAGUCGAACGGAAAGGCCCUGCUUUUGUGGGGUUCUCGAGUGGCGAACGGGUGAGUAACACGUGAGUAACCUGCCCUUGACUUUGGGAUAACUUCAGGAAACUGGGGCUAAUACCGGAUAGGAGCUCCUGCUGCAUGGGGGGGGUUGGAAAGUUUCGGCGGUUGGGGAUGGACUCGCGGGUUAUCAGCUUGUUGGUGGGGUAGUGGCUUACCAAGGCUUUGACGGGUAGCCGGCCUGGGAGGGUGACCGGCCACAUUGGGACUGAGAUACGGACCAGACUCCUACGGGAGGCAGCAGUGGGGAAUAUUGCACAAUGGGCGGAAGCCUGAUGCAGCAACGCCGCGUGCGGGAUGACGGCCUUCGGGUUGUAAACCGCUUUCGCCUGUGACGAAGCGUGAGUGACGGUAAUGGGUAAAGAAGCACCGGCUAACUACGUG